This 248-nucleotide long non-coding RNA is filed under the name Vigna radiata. RNAcentral's name for it is "long non-coding RNA (VRAD_LNC016238)". The record is from RNAcentral. Lineage: Eukaryota; Viridiplantae; Streptophyta; Magnoliopsida; Fabales; Fabaceae.
GCCAGAUGUGCUUCCUUGCUGUGAUGUUUCUUGAGAGACCUUCCCUUGUUGAACCAACAUUCAUAAGAGAAAUGUCCCAUCUUGUGGCAUGUGAAACACUCCACAUUUCGUCUAUCUUUCUUUUUGUAAUAAUGAUCUGCAUUGCUUCUUCUGUCUGAAGAAUCAGGUCUGCCUUCCCGUUCAUCAUCUUCAUCUUCCCGUUCAUCAUCUUCAUCAUUCUUCCAUUUAUCUUGUGUCGUAGAUUUACC